CCUACGGGAGGCAGCAGUGGGGAAUAUUGCACAAUGGGCGAAAGCCUGAUCCAGCAAUGCCGCGUGAGUGAUGAAGGCCUUAGGGUUGUAAAGCUCUUUUACCCGGGAUGAUAAUGACAGUACCGGGAGAAUAAGCUCCGGCUAACUCCGUGCCAGCAGCCGCGGUAAUACGGAGGGAGCUAGCGUUAUUCGGAAUUACU
RNAcentral lists this ribosomal RNA (200 nucleotides) under uncultured bacterium. RNAcentral's name for it is "partial 16S ribosomal RNA". It matches the Rfam family "Bacterial small subunit ribosomal RNA", at positions 338 to 555 of the family's 1533-position model. The record is from RNAcentral.